UGCAGUCGAGCGGACAGAUGGGAGCUUGCUCCCUGAUGUUAGCGGCGGACGGGUGAGUAACACGUGGGUAACCUGCCUGUAAGACUGGGAUAACUCCGGGAAACCGGGGCUAAUACCGGAUGCUUGAUUGAACCGCAUGGUUCAAUUAUAAAAGGUGGCUUUUAGCUACCACUUACAGAUGGACCCGCGGCGCAUUAGCUAGUUGGUGAGGUAACGGCUCACCAAGGCAACGAUGCGUAGCCGACCUGAGAGGGUGAUCGGCCACACUGGGACUGAGACACGGCCCAGACUCCUACGGGAGGCAGCAGUAGGGAAUCUUCCGCAAUGGACGAAAGUCUGACGGAGCAACGCCGCGUGAGUGAUGAAGGUUUUCGGAUCGUAAAACUCUGUUGUUAGGGAAGAACAAGUACCGUUCGAAUAGGGCGGUACCUUGACGGUACCUAACCAGAAAGCCACGGCUAACUACGUGCCAGCAGCCGCGGUAAUACGUAGGUGGCAAGCGUUGUCCGGAAUUAUUGGGCGUAAAGCGCGCGCAGGCGGUUUCUUAAGUCUGAUGUGAAAGCCCCCGGCUCAACCGGGGAGGGUCAUUGGAAACUGGGGAACUUG
Molecule: ribosomal RNA, 606 nt
Filed under: Bacillus sp. KF-66
Lineage: Bacteria; Bacillati; Bacillota; Bacilli; Caryophanales; Bacillaceae
Description: bacterial SSU rRNA
Rfam family: Bacterial small subunit ribosomal RNA
Source: RNAcentral